AUACGUAGGUGGCAAGCGUUAUCCGGAUUUACUGGGUGUAAAGGGCGUGUAGGCGGGACUGCAAGUCAGAUGUGAAAAUUAUGGGCUCAACCCAUAACCUGCAUUUGAAACUGUGGUUCUUGAGUGAUGGAGAGGCAGGCGGAAUUCCGUGUGUAGCGGUGAAAUGCGUAGAUAUACGGAGGAACACCAGUGGCGAAGGCGACUACCUGGACCGAUACUGACACUGAGGAGCGAAAGCGUGGGGAGC
This 247-nucleotide ribosomal RNA is filed under the name uncultured bacterium. RNAcentral's name for it is "partial 16S ribosomal RNA". It matches the Rfam family "Bacterial small subunit ribosomal RNA", at positions 523 to 769 of the family's 1533-position model. The record is from RNAcentral.